Cavia porcellus (domestic guinea pig) is the source of this 105-nucleotide unclassified non-coding RNA. It matches the Rfam family "Y RNA". From Rfam's summary of the family: Y RNAs are components of the Ro ribonucleoprotein particle (Ro RNP), in association with Ro60 and La proteins. Lineage: Eukaryota; Metazoa; Chordata; Mammalia; Rodentia; Caviidae. The record is from Ensembl.
GGCUAGUCCGAUGGCAGUGGGUUAUAAGAACUUACUAGCAUUAGUGUCACUAAAGUUGAGAUACAGAGCCCCCCCCCACACACUGCUAAAUUUGACUGGCUUUAA